This 654-nucleotide ribosomal RNA is filed under the name Triticum aestivum (bread wheat). Its description in RNAcentral is "partial small subunit ribosomal RNA". The record is from RNAcentral. Lineage: Eukaryota; Viridiplantae; Streptophyta; Magnoliopsida; Poales; Poaceae.
AUGCCUAUGGGCUUAUUCGAAGCACCCGACACCUUUAUGCAUGUGAUGCAUUUUGUUCUUCGCCCUUACAUUGGUGUAUUUGUUGUGGUCUAUUUUGAUGAUAUUCUUGUUUUUAGCAAAUCUAUCAAAGAUCAUGUGACCCAUCUUAGAACCAUUUUGCAAACUCUUAGAAAAGAGCGCCUUUAUGCUAAUAUGGACAAAUGCCUUUUUGGUGUUGAUAAGCUUGUUUUCUUGGGUUUCGUUGUGUAUUCUAAGGGUGUUCACGUAGAUGAAUCUAAGAUUGAAGCUAUUAAAAUUUGGCCCCAACCAACAAACUUGAAACAAGUGUGUAGUUUUCUUGGCUUAGCCGGAUUUUAUCGUCGUUUUGUGAAGGAUUUUAGCACCAUUGCUUUACCUUUGCAUGCCUUGAGUAAGAAAAACGAACCAUUUAUUUGGGGACCACAACAAGAUACCGCAUUCAAUGAGCUUAAGAAUUUGCUUACACAUGCCCCUUUGCUUGCAUUACCCAACUUUAAUAAACCUUUUGAGAUCCAUUGCGAUGCUAGCGGUUAUGGCAUAGGAGGUGUGUUAAUGCAAGAGAAGCGCCCCAUAGCUUACUUUAGUGAAAAACUUUCCUUAACUACCCCAUCUAUGACAAAGAGCUAUAUGCUUUAG